This 253-nucleotide ribosomal RNA is filed under the name uncultured bacterium. RNAcentral's name for it is "partial 16S ribosomal RNA". It matches the Rfam family "Bacterial small subunit ribosomal RNA", at positions 524 to 776 of the family's 1533-position model. The record is from RNAcentral.
UACGUAUGGUGCAAGCGUUAUCCGGAUUUACUGGGCGUAAAGGGAGCGCAGGCGGCGCGCCAAGUCCGAUGUGAAACCCCGGGGCUCAACCCCGGGCAUGCAUUGGAAACUGGCGGGCUGGAGUGCCGGAGAGGUAAGCGGAAUUCCUAGUGUAGCGGUGAAAUGCGUAGAUAUUAGGAGGAACACCAGUGGCGAAGGCGGCUCACUGGACGGCAACUGACGCUGAGGCUCGAAAGCGUGGGGAGCAAACAGG